Equus caballus (horse) is the source of this 2766-nucleotide non-coding RNA. The record is from RefSeq and is a predicted model, not a curated record. Lineage: Eukaryota; Metazoa; Chordata; Mammalia; Perissodactyla; Equidae.
CCCGCCGGGCUCGGCCGGCUGCGGCGGGCCGUGGCGCCAUGUGCGCGUGUCGUCCUUGCGCCCUCUUACUGCAACGCCUCCAGUAACAGGUUCCAAAGUCCUGCUGGUCCCCGCCCUCGUCCCUGCGAAGCAGAGCAGGGAGCCAACGACGACCCCGCUGAAGCCUCCUAAGCUCCAGCUCACCCCACUCAGCGGUUGGGGUGAUUUUAGCGGAUCCCCACUUCCCGUCCCCAAGACACGGUCUCCAGAGACGACUUCAGCGCGCGGGAGACAGGGGUGAAUCUGUAAAGGAACUGAGCGCUUGGCCUGGUGCCCGCCUGGAGGGACUCAGCCCAACCGAUCCUGGCCCUGCGUUCCGACGGCUGCCCGCGAAGCUGGAGAAAGGUGGCGCACGCGCAGGAGAACUGAGGACAACACUUGGGGCAAAACAAAGCUCCCCGCCCCGGGCACCAAUGAGAGGGCAGGGAGUUCACCUCCACGCGUGCACGCCCUCGUCUGGAUGUAUCAAAAUGCGACAACUCUACAUUCCUUACCUGCCUUGUUGUGAUUGGUUCUCUAAAAAAACGAAGCAAAACAACAGCCUGUAACGUGCCCUCCCUGCCCUUGAAAACUCUUCAUUGAAGGGCGCUUACAGAGCCUCCAGCACUUGGACAAGAUGCGGAGAGCGCUCUAAGGGAACUGGGAAGUUGUAAUCCUAAAGGAUCCUUACUGGUCUAAUUUGUUACUCUGCAGUCUCUACCCCUCUUCUCUACCUCCAGGACUAACAGUUUAGCUAGAGAGAGAAGGCACAUUCCUGCGUGGCUGGCCUGUGGGGUAGUGGUUAAGUUCGCACGCUCCACUUUUGCAGCCCCAGUCAUGGGUUCGGGUCCACGGCACAGAUCUAUACAUGCUGUCAAACCAUGCUGUGGCAGCAUCCCACAUACAAAAUGGAGGAAGAUUGGCACAGCUGUUAACUCAGGGCGAAUCUCCCCCCUCACUCACCCCCCCACACAAAAAAACAUAUUCGUGCUUAACAAAAGGUUUGUUAAACUGACAAAGGAUUAAUCCCCAACACAUAUAAAGAACUCCUACAAAUCAAUGAGAAAAAGAUAAAUCAGUAGAAGAAACAUGGGCAAAUGACUAGAACAGGUACUCUCAAAAGAGAGAAUGGAACUGGCCAAUAAACGUACAACACGAUGUUGAGUAUCAUUAGAAAUCCCAGAAAUGCAAAUUAAACUACAGUUUAAACCACAGUCAAUACUGCUUUAAUGAUUUGCACAGACACACACAAAAUCUGUAAACGUCAAGUAUUGGUGAAGAUCUCUAACAACUGGAACGACUACUGUUGGGAUUGCAAAUUGUUAUGAUUGAUACAGUCACCUUGGAAAACAAUCAUCUAGUAAAGCUAGAUGCCUCCCGGGUGACCCAGCCAGACCUCUCCCACAUCAACCUCAGAAAAACUCACUGACACGCAUCCGGGUCCAUGUGCAAGAAUAUUCCUAACAGCGCUGUUUGUAAUGAGGAAAAAAAACUGGAAACAGUCCUUAUAGCCAUCAAAAGUGGAGUAAGUUUUUGGUUGAUUCAUGCAGUGGACACUGUAUAGCAGUGAAAGUGCUGAGUGAAAAAGCAAGUCUUAGAAAAAUAUAGAAUAAUCUUAUUUACAUAAAGCUCACAAACUUGCAGAACUAAACAAUAUAUUGUUUGGGGAUAAAAACAUGUGGCCAAAUUAUAAAGAAAAGUAAAGGAAUGAUAAAUGUAAUAGUCAGGGUACUGGUCACCUCUGAGAGAAGGGAAAGGAACAGGAUGGGGACAGACGUGCAGGGGUCUUAAAAGGCAAAAGUGAUGUUCUCUUCCACUAGGAUAUGGGUGCAAAGAGUUAUAAAUGUAUUCAAUCUUUCUACGUGUAUUAUAAAUACUCUUUUUUAGCCAUUAAAUAUUUUGUAAGAACAAUUAAAAAAUAAAAAUAAUUUUUUUAAGUGUCAAGUACCUUAGAGGUUAGACACAAGGGGUAAAGCCACUAGCCCAAGGCAUUUGACCCUGUCUCCUCUCUUGGAAGAGCCAAGUAGAUAAGGCUCUCUCGUUCUGGCCAGAGAGCAGAGCAGGAGUUAGGGGUCCACUCUGCUCUCUGCUCUCUCAGGUUGGGCUGUGGAGGGUUGGGGGGAGAUGGAAGGGCAGUGCAUGUCUCAGGCUGCCAGGGCUUUAUUACAUUUGCAAAGCUGAUCUGCAGAUGCAGUGUAAGAUAGAGAGCUCCAUCCAGAAUCGCUCACCCCGUGCUGAAUGCCCUGGCAGCCCCCUACUUGCCAGAUAACAUCUUUAAUAUCCAGGGGGAAAUGAAUUCCCCCGCUUGGUCUGCCCAUCUGGCCUUGCCUCUUGCCACAAUCAGUCUGGCAGAUCUUCCUCCCCUGCAAAAAGAAGAGAAAUUGUUCUUCCACAGCUCCGCUUUUCAUCAUGAAAGCAUCGUCUGAGUGGCAGGGCCUGGGUAUUGGUCAUUCCUUCUUGCCUGCCUUCCUCUAUUCAGCUUUCAUGGGUGGCUUCUGUAUUAGAGCUGUGCUAGGCACAGGGGACGAGGAGAUGAAUUAGGCGUGAACCUCAUCCUGAAGAGGGAGCGGUCCAGUGGGGUAGACAGAUAGAAAGCAAAUAAUCAGGCACCAAGUGUAAUGGAGGUAAUGGAGCCUCAGGAGCAGAGAAAGAUAAAAAGAUUAAUUCCACCAAGGUGGUGGCCUGGGAAGGUUUCCUGGAUGAAAUGAAUUUUUAUUACCUCUAAAAUAAAGUUAAUAUUUUUUCUUA